CCAGAGCAGGAUAGUGUUUGGCCCACCAGCGUUAGGCAGGCUGCGGGGUAAGCUCCGCCUCACGGGGAGCCUGGCGCAUCAUUGGCUCUCCCUCUCACCAAUCUCCACACCCUUUCUGUUUUCCUCGUUCCCUCAGCCCCACGAACCCCGGGAGAUUUAAACCGCGCCUUACUAGUGAUGUCCAUUCACUAGGAACCUGCUUCCCCAGAAAGGAGAUGUGUGAAGAUUCUUUGUCCUCUAGGAUACAGACAGUGAGUGUAGGAGUUAGCACAGAACCUUGCUAUGCCAGGCAGGGAAUGAAGAGUCUUAGAACCAAUGGAUUCCACUCCUUUGGAUGACCUCCUGGAUGACUGGCUCCAGGCCCUGGAGCCCUCAGAAUAUGGAUGGAGAGUAUCCUUUGCUGAAACCCACUGGAGCAGGGUCACAGAUGGGGUUUGGCCCAUGAGGGCAUAAUUAAGAUGCAGUUCAAAGCAGUGGCUCAAGAACAAAAGACUAAAAAGGGGGCAGCAGGGAAAGAGCAGGACAUGAGUAAAAAAUCCUUGGGAACUAAAAGUGGAAUAAGGAGAUUUAAUUAUGGGUAGGAGUGUUGGGCUGCACUGGGAGGCCAUUUUAUAGAUGACGAAAGGGGAUGUAACCUUCCUUUGAAAUGAGGCCUGAAACUUGACUUGCA
This 670-nucleotide long non-coding RNA is filed under the name Homo sapiens (human). Its description in RNAcentral is "non-protein coding lnc-KDM3B-1:5". Lineage: Eukaryota; Metazoa; Chordata; Mammalia; Primates; Hominidae. The record is from RNAcentral.